UGGCGAACUGGUGAGUAACACGUGGGUGAUCUGCCCUGCACUUCGGGAUAAGCUUGGGAAACUGGGUCUAAUACCGGAUAGGACCAUCGUUUAGUGUCGGUGGUGGAAAGUUUUUCGGUGUGGGAUGAGCUCGCGGCCUAUCAGCUUGUUGGUGGGGUAAUGGCCUACCAAGGCGUCGACGGGUAGCCGGCCUGAGAGGGUGUACGGCCACAUUGGGACUGAGAUACGGCCCAG
RNAcentral lists this ribosomal RNA (234 nucleotides) under uncultured Actinomycetales bacterium. RNAcentral's name for it is "partial 16S ribosomal RNA". It matches the Rfam family "Bacterial small subunit ribosomal RNA", at positions 96 to 334 of the family's 1533-position model. Lineage: Bacteria; Bacillati; Actinomycetota; Actinomycetes; Actinomycetales. The record is from RNAcentral.